CAUGCCACUUGGCUUCCUCAUUUCUACCCAGUGGGAAAUGAGAAAUAUUAAACUAGAGAAGCCUGAGUCUCUGGUAUCUGAGCUAACAUCAGACAUAGAGGGCAGUGUUGAGAUGCUUAAAUGAAAACAAAGGGACUCAGAGAAGGCUUGCAUACGGAACAGUCAGACUCCUCUCAGCCUUUUCUGCUGCAGGUCCCAGAAUGCCAGCAGCCAGACUUACACUGUCCAGGCAGGAGAGGGGAGGACCUUCCACUGGAGACACUGAACUGCCCAAGUGAAAAAGAUCUACAAACACUGACAUAAAGAGGUCACCUAUCAAAAAGAUGAGCAUACCAGGGAAGAAAAUACAGAAAGAGGAGGAAGAAGGGUGCCAAACACAAUGUCUUAUUUUGGAAUUUGUCCUUCUUGGCCCUAAUGAUGGUCAGAAGGCUGCUAUGAAGCAAAUUCAGGGACUGGGCCUGUGCCUUGAGAACUCUGCAAAGUCAUAAAUGUCAAGAGUUGAGAAAUCUCCACAAAGUAUGCCAAAUUCCUG
This is a non-coding RNA of Kogia breviceps (pygmy sperm whale), 532 nucleotides long. The record is from RefSeq and is a predicted model, not a curated record. NCBI's taxonomy places the organism in Eukaryota, Metazoa, Chordata, Mammalia, Artiodactyla, Physeteridae.